This 253-nucleotide ribosomal RNA is filed under the name uncultured bacterium. Its description in RNAcentral is "partial 16S ribosomal RNA". It matches the Rfam family "Bacterial small subunit ribosomal RNA", at positions 524 to 776 of the family's 1533-position model. The record is from RNAcentral.
CACGUAGGGCGCAAGCGUUGUCCGGAAUUAUUGGGCGUAAAGAGCUCGUAGGCGGUCUGUCGCGUCUGCUGUGAAAACUCAGGGCUUAACCCUGAGCUUGCAGUGGGUACGGGCAGACUAGAGUGCGGUAGGGGAGACUGGAAUUCCUGGUGUAGCGGUGAAAUGCGCAGAUAUCAGGAGGAACACCGGUGGCGAAGGCGGGUCUCUGGGCCGUAACUGACGCUGAGGAGCGAAAGCAUGGGGAGCGAACAGG